This 312-nucleotide ribosomal RNA is filed under the name Triticum aestivum (bread wheat). RNAcentral describes it as "partial small subunit ribosomal RNA". The record is from RNAcentral. Lineage: Eukaryota; Viridiplantae; Streptophyta; Magnoliopsida; Poales; Poaceae.
AUGGAUCAGAUGCAAAAAUGUAGGGAGGACAGCUCAUCUCGUCAGGCCUCUCCCCCCCUAAGGCGGCGGCGCCGCGCCGCCCUCAAGGAGUCCCCGCCCUCAGCCCUCCCCCUCCAUCGCCUCCCUCUACCGCCGCCGUCGCUGAUGACACUAUGGGGCGAAGCCCCUGUGGUGAGACAGCGCCGGCGGCGCAGUCCUCGGCCGGUGGUAACGCGUGGGGGCAGCAGCGUCCAUCUCCCUCCUCUUCCAACGGCAGUGCGCAGCAGGUUGCACCUCGUCUCGACAACGACAAGAGGAGACCCCCCUGAGUAA